Anolis carolinensis (green anole) is the source of this 4575-nucleotide long non-coding RNA. RefSeq lists it as uncharacterized. The transcript has 5 exons. NCBI's taxonomy places the organism in Eukaryota, Metazoa, Chordata, Lepidosauria, Squamata, Anolidae. The record is from RefSeq and is a predicted model, not a curated record.
UAAUCUGAUGCUGAUGAGGCAUGGCUGAAUGAGAGGGACUUCACACUGGGACUUCAUGCUGAAGGAAAGGUACAGGUUAUGGUGACCUUUUGUUUGUAAGGUCUGGCUGAAGAGGAGGUACUGUCCAUUGGGAACUCUUGCUGAUGAGCUCUGGUUGAAGGAGAGGAAAUUGACACUGGAACUUCAUGCUGAUUUUUCAGAUGAAGAAGAGACUACUUUACAUCUUAUAGAGUCCAUUGAUGAUGUACCAACAAUUUCUUCAAUUGAUACACUGGAAAUGCCAUAGGAGUUCAUCCAGAGAGGCAAGGAACGCAUCACAGACGCUACAGGCAGUAUACAAACAGAAGGGCCAGAAGAUGAUGCUGGUGAGUUGGGUCCUGGAGUAGAUGGAUCUGCGGAGGUAGGCUGUCUUCCAGAACAAAUUCACAGGUAUUCAUAGCGUCCUAACAGAGGUGUACCACCCUCGAGAUUGUCUUACCUUGCAGAGUCAACAUUAUUCAGUGAACCAUCUACAAUAGAGGAAAUUGAGAUGCUACCUGCCACAGAAGCUCAACAGUGGAGGAAAGCAGCACAAGAAGAGAUUGAUGCUCUAUACAAGAAUUGAACUUGGACACUAACUGAACUUCCACCUGGUAAGAAGCUUUCAUCGAAAUCAUCAAUAAAGAUGUUGAACAGCAGUGGGCCCAGGACAGAAGCCUGUGGCACUCCACUAGGCACUUCUUUCCAGGAUGGAGAUGCAGUGGUGAGUACCCUUUGGGUUUGGUUGCUCAACCUAUUACAAAGUCACUUAAUAGUAGUAUUGUCUAGCCCACAUUUUACUAGUUGUAAAAGAGAGUGGAGGCUUAGCACUACCUGACCCUAGUGAUUACUAUGAAGCGGUAAGCUUCGUUUGGCUAAAGGAGUGGAUUAGAUUAGAAAAUCGAGCAUUACUCAACCUAGAGGGAUAUAACCUAAGAUUUGGUUAACAUGAAUAUUUAUGGUACGGGAAAGAUAGAGUCAAUAAAGUUUUCCAGAGACAUCCCAUAAGGGCAAGUCUAUUAGCAAUUUGGAAAAGAUUUAAGGUGGGGAUGGAACAAAAAAAAAAAAACAGUUACAGAUACAACCCGUCAAAGCAAUGUUAAAUCCAAUUUUUAAUGAGGAAACAAGAACCUAUAGGGAGUACUUAAACAAAGAAAAAGAGCAUUGGGGACUAAAAGGAAGAGAAGAGUUACCACCAAUUAUGUGAUCUAUAUAUAUAAAAGAGUGAUGGAAUCAGGGCACUGGCCAAAACAACAAAACUACAGGCCCCCCAACCUCGAAAUUUGACAACACAACCCAUCAUCCACGGCUCUAGGUUGAUACAACAAAAACAAAAGAAAAAUAAAGUCCUAAUUAGAGGGAGAGCAAUAAUUGUUUUUAUCCAAUUGCUGCCAGUUAGAGGGCUAAGCUCCGCCCAACCACCACUACCUCAACAAUUUCUCACCAACACCAUCAGACAACACCACAGCAACGCGUGGCCGGGCACAGCUAGUAUAUUUUAAAAAGAUAAUAAAGUAAGGUUUGCUAAAAGAAAAUUGGAAUUGGAGAAUAUUUUAGAGAGGAGAAACAAGGGAUUAAUUCCCAGAUUAUAUAGGUACAUAUUAGACUACAACCUAGAAGACAAUCGAAUAAAAACAAUAAUGAUUUUGUAGGCUAAAUAUUUUGGGGAAAAUGUUGAUUUAGAUAAUUGGGAAUAUCUAUAAGAAAGAGGAUUUAAAUUCUCAAUAGCAAGAUCUAUUAGAGAGAACAUGUAUAAAAUGUUUUAUUGAAGCUAUGUAACACCUGAGAUAAUAGCUAAAAUAGACAAAUCUCACUGGGGGAGGGGGUGGAGAUGUAAAGUACAGAAAGGUACAUUUUUUCAUGCCUGGUAGACCUGUAAGUUGGUACAAACUUUUUGGGGAAAAGUGAUUAAGGAAAUAAAUAAUAUGAUCACUAAAAGGGUUAGGAAAAAUCCAGAGAUGUGCCUCUUGGGACUAUUUGGUGAAAAACCUAGUAAAGAAAAUGUAGAAAUCUGUCAAUACAGUUUUGUUGCAGUGAGAAUAUUAAUAAUAAAAUCUUGGAAAGGAGAAAUAGAGCUAUUGCUAAAGGACUGGAGAGAAAAAUUAUUAGAGUAUAUCCAAAUGGCCAAGCUAUCCAAUGCUAUACGUGAAAGAAGCAAUGAAGAUUUUGUCAAGAAAUGUAGCCUUGCAUUUGGAUAUCUAGAAAAGAAGACAAAAAUAGAUUUCAAAGUAGUCACAAGGAGAAUUUAUUAAUGUAGGAUAAGGGUAGGUUUUUUUUUUUGAGACACUAGUUUCACACUGGGUGGUGCCAGAAGUCAGGGGUGGUGGUUCACUGGUUAGGGGAAGGAGAGUUACUGGUUAUUGUCAUCUAAUGUUGGUGAGGUAUAAAUGAAGGAGGGGACUGACCAUUGUGACAUCUUGUUGAUCGGGUCAGGCUGAAAUAAAGGAAUUUAUUUCACUGAGAGCUCUUGUUGGUUAUGUCUGGAUGAAGAAGAGUAUUGGGCAUUGUAAUCUGUUGCUGAUGAGGCUUAAUGAAUGAGAAGGACUUAAUAAUUUUUUUCUGGUGAUACUUGCCAAAGGAGAGGAACUGGCCAUUGUGAGGUCUUAUUGGUGAUGUUUGGAUGAGAUUGUGUCUGGCUACUGGGGUUUCCUGUUGUUGAGACUUGUGUGAAAAAGUCACCAGCAUUGUGACUUCUUGCUGAACUCACCUAACUGAACAGGACUGGGCAUUGUCAUCCGAUGCGAUGGUGCCUGGCUGAAUAAGAGAGACUUGAUACUGGGACUUCAUGCUGUUGGGGCCUUGCUGAAGGAAAGAUACUGGCCAUUGUGACCUCUUGUUAGUGAGGUUGUCUGAAGAAGAAGGCCUGUUCAUUGGGAACUAUGGCUGAUCAGACUUGGCUGAUCAAGAGUGACUGCCGAUGGAGAAAUCUUGCCAAUGAAGCUUGGUUGAAGAAGAGGGACUACCCAUUGUGAACUGUUACAUAUGAGGCCUGAUAGUGACAUUGUGACUUUUUGUUUGUGAUGUCUGUCUGAAAGAGAGGACCUGGCCAUUUUAAAUUCUUGUUGGUGAGGUCUGGAUGAAGAAGUGGGACUAGUCAUUGGGCUCUCCUGCGGAUGAAUCCUAGCUGAAUCGGUGGGAAUGGCCAUUGGAAACUCUAUACAUCACGAUGAAGAGGACUGGAAGUCAACAAGAUAUAUAUAAAUACAUAUAAAUAUGUUUUACUCACCAUAUUUUUUCUUUUUAAUUUUUUUUUCUUUUUAAAUUUUUUGUUAUGUUUUCUUUUUAUUUCUUUCCCUCUCUUCCCUUUCCUCCUAACCUUCCCCAUUUUCCCCAUAUUUUUUUAUUCUAAUGAAAACCUCUAAUAAAAUUACAUUUUAAAAAUAAAGAGACAUCAUUCUGACCACUUGUUGGUGAGGUCUGUUUGAAAAAGAGGGACUGGCCAUUGUGAGGUCUUGUUGGUGAGGUCUGGAUGAGAGAAAGACUGACCAUUGGGGUCUCCCGCUGAAAACGUUCGACUGGUCACUGAUGUCACCUGGCUGAACAGUCCUGAUGCUGAUGAGGCUUGGCUGAAAGAAAGGUACUUGCUAUUGUAACCUCUUGUGGGUAAGGUAGGGCUGAAGAAGAGGAACUGUCCAUUGGGAACUCUUGCUGAUCAGAUCUGGCUGAUCAAGAGGGACUGUCCAUUGAGAAGUCUUGCUGAGGAGGCCAGGCUGAAAAAAAGGGACUCGCCAUUGCAAACUGUUGCUGAAGGAGAGGGACUGAGCAUUGUGACCUCUUCAGCAGACCUAAACCCUUCAACAGACCUUUGUCACACAACCAGCUGUAUUUAGUCAUAUGAAGAGGGAGCUUUAAUGGCCAGAUGUGGCAUCUAGUCAGCCAUCUGGCUGCUUCCAAUAUGCUCAGUGGAUUUUUGCCAGAGUACUGGCUAGAAAGAUGAUGGCUCUGUAUUCAGAGAGGCCUGACUGAGGCCUUAUGUGUUGCUGAUCUUCACUGAAGCAGAUUUAUGGACUAAGAAAGGAUUGCCUAUAACUGCUGAUUUCUGUAAUCUGCACUUUGAAUUGGAUCUGGAAACUUGUCGGGAGCCAAUGGAGCUGCUUAGUAGGAGGGGCAUGAUACUUUUCAAAUGGGAAAAAGCAGCAUACAAUGAUGUCUUCAGCUAGCAAUAUUUAUUAAAACCUUUUGGAAUAUGGAACAGCGCCUGACUUACAAGAAACAUAACAGCUUAACUGACUAGGUCCAGAAUUGCCUGAGCCUUUCAGGAAGCAACACAAUUGAGGCAUCCGCCGCAAAUGGAAAGCAUGUCUUGUUCACAACUCAUAUUUAUGCCCUCUGAAGAUUUUGCUGUUUUGUCUCUUCACUAUCGAGAGUUUGGAAAUAAUGAAGCUCAAUUGAAGUUACCACCCCAAACUAGCUCCUAUUUGAUAAUUUUGGUGAAGAAAGUUACCUUUUAAAAACAAUGCAAUAAGAACAUGGCCAUAGAGCCUGAAAAACUCACAGCGACCUAGUGAUUCCAGCCAUGAAAGCCUUUGAUAAUACAGUGCAAUAAGAGCAAAGUUA